UGGGGACAACGUAUGGAAACGUACGCUAAUACCGAAUACGCUCUAAGGAGUAAAGGGGGCCUCUUCUUGAAAGCUCUCGCCAUAGGAUGAGCCCGCGUAAGAUUAGCUAGUUGGUGAGGUAAUGGCUCACCAAGGCGACGAUCUUUAGCUGGUUUGAGAGGAUGAUCAGCCACACUGGGACUGAGACACGGCCCAGACUCCUACGGGAGGCAGCAGUGGGGAAUAUUGGACAAUGGACGAAAGUCUGAUCCAGCCAUACCGCGUGUGUGAAGAAGGCCUUCGGGUUGUAAAGCACUUUCAGUUGGGAGGAAGAUUAGGUAUUUAAUACAUGCCUAGUUUGACGUUACCUUCAGAAGAAGCACCGGCUAACUCUGUGCCAGCAGCCGCGGUAAUACAGAGGGUGCAAGCGUUAUUCSGGAAUUACUGGGCGUAAAGCGCGCUAGGCGGAUUAGUAAGUCAGUUGUGAAAGCCCUGGGCUCAACCUAGGAACUGCAUCUGAUACUGCUAGUCUAGAGUUUAGUAGAGGGAAGGGGAAUUCCAGGUGUAGCAGUGAAAUGCGUAGAUAUCUGGAGGAACAUCAGUGGCGAAGGCGCCUUCCUGGACUAAAACUGACGCUGAGGUGCGAAAGCGUGGGUAGCGAACGGGAUUAGAUACCCCGGUAGUCCACGCCGUAAACGAUGUCAACUAGCUGUUGGCCUUAUUAAAA
This 706-nucleotide ribosomal RNA is filed under the name unidentified eubacterium DS-1. RNAcentral's name for it is "bacterial SSU rRNA". It matches the Rfam family "Bacterial small subunit ribosomal RNA", at positions 138 to 837 of the family's 1533-position model. Lineage: Bacteria; Pseudomonadati; Pseudomonadota; Gammaproteobacteria. The record is from RNAcentral.